Molecule: RNase P RNA, 363 nt
Filed under: Planctomycetia bacterium
Lineage: Bacteria; Pseudomonadati; Planctomycetota; Planctomycetia
Description: RNase P RNA component class A
Rfam family: Bacterial RNase P class A
About the family: Ribonuclease P (RNase P) is a ubiquitous endoribonuclease, found in archaea, bacteria and eukarya as well as chloroplasts and mitochondria. Its best characterised activity is the generation of mature 5'-ends of tRNAs by cleaving the 5'-leader elements of precursor-tRNAs. Cellular RNase Ps are ribonucleoproteins.
Source: RNAcentral
GCAGGUGAACAAGAUGGUCGCUGGUCAUCGUACGAUGACGAGAGGAAAGUCCGGGCUUCACAGGACACAGUGGUGGGUAACUCCCACCGGCUGCAAAGCCAGGGAAAGUGCAACAGAAAGUACACCGCCUGAAUGCAAGUUCGGGUAAGGGUGAAAAGGUGCGGUAAGAGCGCACCAGCGGCGGGGUGACUCGUCGGCUCGGCAAACCCCACUGGAAGCAAGGCCAAGCAGAGAGAAGGACUGGUCCGGUCCGUUUGACUCUCGGGUCGGCUGCUUAAGUUGCCAGGCAACUGGCAAUGUAGAUAGAUGCCCAUCACAUCUCUUGGAGAUGGACAAAACCCGGCUUAUCGUUCACCUGCUGCU